GGACUAAAAACUGAAAAUUGUGUUGAGAACCUAGAUUAUUUUCAACCCAUCUAUGUCUACAACCCUGGUGAUAGAAACCAGAAACUUGAAGACCCUGGAAUAAAAAGUCAGGAGCUCACUGCCUUACCUGGUAUGAAAAUCCUUGAACCCACCCAAAUACCUGGAAUGAAAAUUUCAGGAACUUUCCCAUUACCUGG
Long non-coding RNA from Galeopterus variegatus (Sunda flying lemur), 197 nucleotides. RefSeq lists it as uncharacterized. The transcript is spliced from 6 exons. NCBI's taxonomy places the organism in Eukaryota, Metazoa, Chordata, Mammalia, Dermoptera, Cynocephalidae. The record is from RefSeq and is a predicted model, not a curated record.